Molecule: unclassified non-coding RNA, 391 nt
Filed under: soil metagenome
Description: partial contains 5.8S ribosomal RNA, internal transcribed spacer 2, and large subunit ribosomal RNA
Rfam family: 5.8S ribosomal RNA (bases 1-122)
Source: RNAcentral
GAUGAAGAACGCAGCGAAAUGCGAUACUUGGUGUGAAUUGCAGGAUCCCGUGAACCAUCGAGUCUUUGAACGCAAGUUGCGCCCGAAGCCAUUAGGCCGAGGGCACGCCUGCCUGGGCGUCACACGUCGUUGCCCCCCCAUCUACUCCUUCGGGAUUGCGGGGGGCGGAUGAUGGCCUCCCGUGCGCCUCGCCGCGCGGUUGGCAUAAAUGCCAAGUCCUCGGCGACGCACGCCACGACAAUCGGUGGUUGCGAAACCUCGGUUGCCCGUCGUGUGCGGUCGUCGCGCAUCGAGGGCUCGAAAAAAUUGCCGGGUUCCGGCUCGGCUUUCAACGCGACCCCAGGUCAGGCGGGGUUACCCGCUGAAUUUAAGCAUAUCAAUAAGCGGAGGA